This 468-nucleotide ribosomal RNA is filed under the name uncultured bacterium. Its description in RNAcentral is "partial 16S ribosomal RNA". It matches the Rfam family "Bacterial small subunit ribosomal RNA", at positions 28 to 507 of the family's 1533-position model. The record is from RNAcentral.
GACGAACGCUGGCGGCGUGCUUAACACAUGCAAGUCGAACGGAAAGGCCCUGCUUUUGUGGGGUGCUCGAGUGGCGAACGGGUGAGUAACACGUGAGUAACCUGCCCUUGACUUUGGGAUGACUUCAGGAAACUGGGGCUAAUACCGGAUAGGAGCUCCUGCUGCAUGGUGGGGGUGGGACAGUUUGGGCGGUUGGGGAUGGACUCGCGGCUCAUCAGCUUGUUGGUGGGGUAGUGGCUUACCAAGGCUUUGACGGGUAGCCGGCCUGAGAGGGUGACCGGCCACAUUGGGACUGAGAUACGGCCCAGACUCCUACGGGAGGCAGCAGUGGGGAAUAGUGCACAAUGGGCGGAAGCCUGAUGCAGCAACGCCGCGUGCGGGAUGACGGCCUUCGGGUUGUAAACCGCUUUCGCCUGUGACGAAGCGUGAGUGACGGUAAUGGGUAAAGAAGCGCCGGCUAACUACGUG